AAACUUGAGAGUUUGAUCCUGGCUCAGAACGAACGCUGGCGGCAGGUCUUAGGCAUGCAAGUCGAACGGGUGCAGCAAUGCACCAGUGGCGCACGAGUGAGUAACGCGUGGGAAGCUACCUUUCACUGGGGAAUAACGUUUGGAAACGAACGCUAAUACCGCAUACGCCGACCAAUUAAUUUUUUUCGCGCAAAGCGCAAAAAUUAAUUGGGAGAGUUAAAGCAAACGCUUUGCGUUUGCAGGGUUGAAGAGUUAGAGAGUUGAAGAUAAUAAUAUCUCCAACUCUGAUUUUGCGAAGCAAAAUCUUAACUCUCCAAAUCUCUAACUCUUAAUUAAUUUUUCUUCAGAAAAAUUAAUUGGUCGGGAAAGAUUUAUCGGUGAAAGAUGUGCCCGCGUUGGAUUAGCUUGUUGGUGGGGUAACGGCCUACCAAGGCGAUGAUCCAUAGCUGGUCUGAGAGGACGAUCAGCCACGCUGGAACUGAGACACGGUCCAGACUCCUACGGGAGGCAGCAGCUAAGAAUAUUGGGCAAUGGAGGAAACUCUGACCCAGCCAUGCCGCGUGAAUGAAGAAGGCCUUCGGGUUGUAAAGUUCUUUUAGUCGUGAAGAUGAUGACAGUAGCGACAGAAAAAGCACCGGCUAACUUCGUGCCAGCAGCCGCGGUAAUACGAAGGGUGCAAGCGUUGUUCGGAUUUACUGGGCGUAAAGCGUCCGCAGGUGGUUUGCUAAGUCAGGGGUGAAAUCCCGGGGCCCAACCCCGGAACUGCCUUUGAUACUGGCAAGCUGGAGCACGGAAGAGGAAGAUGGAAUAUCUGGUGUAGGGGUGAAAUCCGUAGAUAUCAGAUGGAACACCAAUGGCGAAGGCAGUCUUCUGGUCCGUUGCUGACACUCAUGGACGAAAGCGUGGGGAGCAAACAGAAUUAGAUACUCUGGUAGUCCACGCCCUAAACGAUGCAUGCUUGUUGUUAGGCUCCUUCGGGGGUUUAGUGACGAAGCUAACGCGUUAAGCAUGCCGCCUGGGGAGUACGAUCGCAAGAUUAAAACUUAAAGGAAUUGACGGGGACCCGCACAAGCGGUGGAGUAUGUUGUUUAAUUCGAUGCUACGCGAGAAACCUUACCGACCCUUGACAUGUCGCACGCGAUUUCCAGAGAUGGAUUUCUUCAAUUCGGUUGGUGCGAACACAGAUGCUGCAUGGCUGUCGUCAGCUCGUGUCGUGAGAUGUUAGGUUAAGUCCUGCAACGAGCGCAACCCACGCCCUAUGUUACCAGCGGAUAAUGCCGGGGACUCUUAGGGGACUGCCCGCGUCAAGCGGGAGGAAGGUGUGGAUGACGUCAAGUCAUCAUGGUUCUUACGGGUCGGGCUACAAACGUACUACAAUGGCGUUAACAAUGGGUCGCGAUGCGGCAACGCAAAGCCAAUCCUUAAAAAACGCCUCAGUUCAGAUUGUCCUCUGCAACUCGAGGGCAUGAAGCUGGAAUCGCUAGUAAUCGCUGAUCAGAAUGCAGCGGUGAAUACGUUCCCGGGUCUUGUACACACCGCCUGUCAAACCAUGAGAGUCGAUUUCACCCGAAGUCGGUAGUCUAACGCAAGAGGACGCCGCCUACGGUGGGGUUGGUGAUUGGGGUUAAGUCAUAACAAGGUAGCAGUACCGGAAGGUGCGGCUGGAUCACCUCCUUU
This 1677-nucleotide ribosomal RNA is filed under the name Rickettsiales bacterium. RNAcentral's name for it is "bacterial SSU rRNA". It matches the Rfam family "Bacterial small subunit ribosomal RNA". Lineage: Bacteria; Pseudomonadati; Pseudomonadota; Alphaproteobacteria; Rickettsiales. The record is from RNAcentral.